GGAAGUAAAAGUCGUAACAAGGUUUCCGUAGGUGAACCUGCGGAAGGAUCAUUAAUGUGUUUCGGAGCCUGGCACGCCCAUCUCUACUUGGGAUGGGUGUGGCAGCGCCCCCACACGUGUUUACUGAACUUUGUUGCCUUGGUAGGCCUGCCGUUCUGGCUGCCAGGGGCGCCUAACCGUCAUUUAUGCAAAUUAUACAAAACUUUCAACAACGGAUCUCUUGGUUCUGGCAUCGAUGAAGAACGCAGCGAAAUGCGAUAAGUAAUGUGAAUUGCAGAAUUCCGUGAAUCAUCGAAUCUUUGAACGCACAUUGCGCCCUCUGGUAUUCCGGGGGGCAUGCCUGUUCGAGCGUCAUUGCAAACCCCUCAAGCACGGCUUGUGUGUUGGGCCACCGUCCCUCUUGUGGACGGGCCUGAAAUGCAGUGGCAGCACCGAGUUUUGGUGUCUCAGUGUAUGGGAAUCUCUAUCACUUCAAGACCCAAUCAGUGUUGAUCAUCAGAUUUUUUCUAGUUUGACCUCGGAUCAGGUAGGAGUACCCGCUGAACUUAAGCAUAUCAAUAAGCGGAGGA
This 569-nucleotide small RNA is filed under the name Arthroderma multifidum. RNAcentral's name for it is "eukaryotic LSU rRNA". The stretch from base 201 to 354 matches the Rfam family "5.8S ribosomal RNA". Lineage: Eukaryota; Fungi; Ascomycota; Eurotiomycetes; Onygenales; Arthrodermataceae. The record is from RNAcentral.